UCAAGCUCCUGUGUGUGUCAAAUUUCUGAUUUUCAGUUUGGUUAUCUCGACUAAUCAGUAUGAUCUUUUCUCACCACUCUCUCCUUGAAGUGGUGCUCUUCUAGUUGUUAGCUGAAAAUUGUAAAUGUCAGUGGUGGUUACAGUACAUGGUCAUGACCCGUACUACUGAUGCAUAUCUACACUAACGAAAAAAAGCAAAAAAGAUUAGGACACUGGAUAAUUGAACUUUUCAUGCACGAUUAUAUAUACAACAAAUCUUUUAAGAAGUCAACAGAUGAAUUAGAGGAUAGAGUAGCAUCACAACGGCCUGCAUGUUUAUUAGAUGAAAAGGAAUAAUAGAAAUUAUUGAUCAUGUUAGAUGAAAAAGAUUAUUUAAGCCCUGGUUGAGAUAUGGAAGAGGUAAUUAAUAAUUAGUACCCGGUAAGAGCAGCAUGGAGAUGAGUAAGGAAAGCCCAGAAUUUGCUCAUUAUUACUUAAAUAACUAUGGUCAUAGAUCUAGCCAAUUGAAAUUAGA
Molecule: long non-coding RNA, 514 nt
Filed under: Solanum tuberosum (potato)
Lineage: Eukaryota; Viridiplantae; Streptophyta; Magnoliopsida; Solanales; Solanaceae
Description: long non-coding RNA (STUB_LNC007132)
Source: RNAcentral